UUGUCCUACACGAACAAAACACUGAUACCUGACCACGUUGCCCAACACGUGUGAUUAGGGAUGGGUAGCGUUCAUCCAUCCAUCUAUCCAUUUUCUACCGCUUGUCCCUUUUGGGGUCGCGGGGGGUGCUGGAGCCUAUCUCAGCUGCAUUCGGGCGGAAGGCGGUGUACACCCUGGACAAGUCGCCACCUCAUCACAGGGCCAACACAAACAACAUUCACACUCACAUUCACACACUAGGGCCAAUUUAGUGUUGCCAAUCAACCUAUCCCCAGGUGCAUGUCUUUGGAGGUGGGAGGAAGCCGGAAUCCACGCAGUCACGGGGAGAACAUGCAGACUCCACACAGAAAGAUCCCGAGCCCGGGAUUGAACUCAGGACCUUCGUAUUGUGAGGCACAUGCACUAACCCCUGUUUCACCGUGAUGCCCGGUAGCGUUCACAUUUAGUUGUUAUAUCUUGUUUUCAUACACCAUUUGACUCCCAUUCGCAUGCAACUGCGCAGGCUAUCCAUGACGUAGCUUUCCCCGAGAAGCUGCAUGUGUUAUGUUGCGCCCAACAAAGUGUUUGUACUAUCAACGUCCACAUCACUCCGGAGAAGUACAGCGGGAGACACACGGACCAAUCACAGGAGCCCUUGAUAGCGGACCAGCCGAGCAACGCCCCCCAGUUGAAGAUUGUAUUGCAGGUACCUGUAAUAGUUGAGGCACAGGAGAACGCCAAGAGCGAGAGACAGCUGCCCUCCCAGGAACACCAGAGCCUGCAGACGACUAACCUCCCCCGCCGCGAUGGGGCGAGUGGCCGUGCGGGCGACCUGCGCC
Molecule: long non-coding RNA, 818 nt
Organism: Nerophis lumbriciformis (worm pipefish)
Lineage: Eukaryota; Metazoa; Chordata; Actinopteri; Syngnathiformes; Syngnathidae
Source: RefSeq, a predicted model, not a curated record